CCUACGGGUGGCAGCAGUGAGGAAUAUUGGUCAAUGGCCGGAAGGCUGAACCAGCCAUGCCGCGUGAAGGUCAGUGCCCUAUGGGCGUUAAACUUCUUUUGUGCGGGAGCAAUAAUGGGCAAGUGUGGCCAGACGAGAGUACCGUACGAAUAAGCAUCGGCUAACUCCGUGCCAGCAGCCGCGGUAAUACGGGGGAUGCAAGCGUUAUCCGGAUUUAUUGGGGUUAAAGGGUGCGUAGGCUGUGAGGUAAGUCAGCGGUGAAAUGCCCCCGCUCAACGGGGUGAAGUGCCAUUGAUACUGCCUUGCUGGAAUGCGGAUGCCGUGGGAGGAAUGUGUGGUGUAGCGGUGAAAUGCAUAGAUAUCACACAGAACACCGAUUGCGAAGGCAUCUCACGAAUCCGCGAUUGACGCUGAUGCACGAAAGCGUGGGUAUCAAACAGGAUUAGAUACCCCAGUAGUC
Molecule: ribosomal RNA, 460 nt
Filed under: uncultured bacterium
Lineage: Bacteria
Description: partial 16S ribosomal RNA
Rfam family: Bacterial small subunit ribosomal RNA
Source: RNAcentral